Molecule: non-coding RNA, 213 nt
Organism: Pelobates cultripes (western spadefoot toad)
Lineage: Eukaryota; Metazoa; Chordata; Amphibia; Anura; Pelobatidae
Source: the annotation of a GenBank genome assembly
GCAUAACUCCGGCACUUCCUAACCCGCAUACCUGGGACUAAUUAGCGCAAGAACCACCACAGGCUGUACAGCCUACAAUAAUAACUACGUCGGCUGAGCAGACCACUCAUGCACACAACCUUGGUUACGGGAGGAUUCCCUGGCACGGCUCUCACUUAAGAGCCAGACCACAUGGACGCUUAGGCGACAGUGUACACAAUCUAACAAUUAAAC